This is a long non-coding RNA of Suricata suricatta (meerkat), 617 nucleotides long. RefSeq lists it as uncharacterized. Lineage: Eukaryota; Metazoa; Chordata; Mammalia; Carnivora; Herpestidae. The transcript is spliced from 2 exons. The record is from RefSeq and is a predicted model, not a curated record.
CCUGCUCCAGAGCCGUCGCCUGUGACGCACCAGGUGGCCGUGGCCAGAAGGACUCAGCCUGUGCGGAGGCGGGACCCGCUGCGUUUUCCCGGGAAGCUCUCCCUUCAUCCCCGCGUGACGGUAGAGACACGGUCUUCAGGUUCCUUAUGAGGAAGGAAAGCCGCCUUCGCAUGCGUGAGCUGGCACAUGCCGGAUCGUUCCAGUUUGCUCUUUGUGCCGGUGGUGGGUUUCAAGCCAGGCAAGAAAGUGCAAGGUCGCUCUGGACACAUUUCCCCUCGGCCACCACCAUCCGUGUGGCUGGGCGGUGCCUGUUAUCGGGCCCGUCCAUCCCUGGGACGCCUUGGCUGCAGGUGACGCUGAGGCUCGCUCUCCUCAUGUCUAAUGGGCCUCAAACACCUCCUCACAGGAAGGAAGGAAGGGGUGUCUCCUCCCCAUCGAGUGGCUCCAGCCGUCUUCUCCGCACAGGGUUGGAGGGCCUCUUUCCUGGAGCAGGUAGUUUGUGAUGUGAAGUCUGCUCCUGGCUCUCUGCACGGCGGUGGGCGCCUCCGAGCUCCGGAGCCGGUGGAUACCACUGGGUUGUGUUGUGUUUUAUUUAUUGAAGGUGCUUUGUCAGGGAG